This 773-nucleotide ribosomal RNA is filed under the name uncultured Neocallimastigales. RNAcentral's name for it is "partial large subunit ribosomal RNA". It matches the Rfam family "Eukaryotic large subunit ribosomal RNA", at positions 22 to 643 of the family's 3401-position model. Lineage: Eukaryota; Fungi; Neocallimastigomycota; Neocallimastigomycetes; Neocallimastigales. The record is from RNAcentral.
CUAUACAUGACUCUGCGCAUAUCAAUAAGCGGAGGAAAAGAAACUAACAAGGAUUCCCUUAGUAACGGCGAGUGAAGCGGGAAGAGCUCAAAUUUGAAAUCUUCAAGGUUCUACCUUGACGAAUUGUAGUUUGUAGAAGUGUUUUCUGUUAGUAGAGUGGCAAAAGUUCUUUGGAAUAGGACAUCAUAGAGGGUGAGAAUCCCGUAUUUGGUCAUUCUUUCUAGCUUUGUGAUACACUUUCAACGAGUCGGAUUGUUUGGGAAUGCAGUCCAAAAUGGGUGGUAAAUUUCAUCUAAAGCUAAAUAUUGGCGAGAGGCCGAUAGCGAACAAGUACCGUGAGGGAAAGAUGAAAAGAACUUUGAAAAGAGAGUUAAACAGUACGUGAAAUUGUCAAAAGGGAAGCGUUUGACACCAGUGUUGUUAGUUGAAAAUCAAUUCAAUAGUUUUUGAUUCUAAGUAGUAUUGACUUCAUCAGCUUGCUGCUUUCUUCUCAGAAAUUAUUGAAUGCACUUUUCAGUUAACAAGUCAACAUCAAUUUCUUUUGUUGUAAAAGGGUAAGAGGAAGGUGGCUUGCGCUUCGGCUCAAGUGUUUAUAGCCUUUUAUCUCUGCAAUCGGAGAGAUUGAGGUCUGCAGCGUAGAUCCUUCGGGGUUAGAUACAUUGGUGCUAAGCUAUAGCCUUGUAUAGACAACUUGUUGACUAUGCUCAGUCAUGUAGCUUACUCGCUGAUGCUAUUUUACCUACGCUUAGGAUGUUGACACACGCGCGUGCUCG